RNAcentral lists this ribosomal RNA (433 nucleotides) under uncultured bacterium. Its description in RNAcentral is "partial 16S ribosomal RNA". It matches the Rfam family "Bacterial small subunit ribosomal RNA", at positions 28 to 507 of the family's 1533-position model. The record is from RNAcentral.
GACGAACGCUGGCGGCGGGCCUAACACAUGCAAGUCGAGCGAGAUCUUCCGGUCUAGCGGCGGGCGUGUGGGUAACGCGUGAAAAGAUGCCUCAUGGUACGGAAUCGCCUCGGGAACCUGGGAGUAAUCCCGUAUGUGCGCUGUGGGGGAGAGAUUUAUCGACAAGGUAUUAGGUCGGGUGGGAGUAGGUAGUUGUUGCGGUAAGGGCCUACCAAGCCGCCGAUCCAUGGCUGGUUUGAGAGGAUGAUCAGCCACACCGGGACUGAGAGACGGCCCAGAGGCCUACGGGAGGAAGCAGGGGGGAAUCUUAGAGCAUGGGGGCAAGCCUGAUCGAGCCAUGCCGGGUGAGAGAUGAAGGCGUUAGGGUUGUAAAGCUCUUUCGGUUGGGAAGAUAAUGACGGUACCAGCAGAAGAAGCCCCGGCUAACUCCGUG